RNAcentral lists this long non-coding RNA (1494 nucleotides) under Neodiprion lecontei (redheaded pine sawfly). RNAcentral describes it as "uncharacterized LOC124295109". Lineage: Eukaryota; Metazoa; Arthropoda; Insecta; Hymenoptera; Diprionidae. The record is from RNAcentral.
GACAAUGUUUUGUUUUGACGAACUCGUUUCUCUCCGUGUGAAGUGCUGUUUCUUGUCUUUUUUAUUUUCGCUCAUUGCGUAGUUGUUAUGCUAACAUGAUUCCCUAUUGUUUUGCGAGUGACGAAAGGCUAUUAUAGUAAAUACGUCGUAGAUAGUGAUUAAAUAAUUCACAGACUCGAAGCGGUGAUAGUACGGAUCGUGCGAGAUGGUAAUACUAUUCUAUUGUGUUGAGUUGAAAAAAAUGUCACGGAAGUCGAUUGAAUUGGAAGAUAUCUCAAAGGGUUGAUAAAACAGACCUUGCCAGUUGGCAUCUCAGGCCUAACAAUAAGAAAUAAACUGCAACAACAUUGAUAGGUGUUAAUAUUUAUCUGGAUUGACAGACUGUGCAAAUAAAUUUUGGAAUACAUUAUGCGAUAACUGAAUACAAUAAUUUGUUGCAGAAGAAUAACAGAAAUGAACUCCAGCUAUAGUGAACGAGGUUAGUGAAUAUCUGAGCAGAGUGACCCUAACAAAUGAUGGAAAAAAGAAUGUAUUAGUUGAUCGGGUAACAGCGUUGUGGGAGAAAAGAAAGAGAAACAGCCUAUCUUGCAGCACUUAUCAAUGAUUUGAAGUAACUUGAUCAAUCGAUCUCUGAGAAUAAAGUGAAAACCGUACCAAUCACCGCAGUAAAAGUUUGAAAAGUACGUCGUUUCACCAUUCAAAUGAGGCAAAUGCAACGAGAACUACUACAUUUGAAGUACGGAGCAACCUGGAGGAGAAUUAAGCAGAGAUAUCCGGGUAACUUCUCCAUUGCUCGGCAACGUUGGUGAGUUUGCAUGUGUUUGGGCUACGGGUAUUUUCCUGGUCUCCUCUGUCAUGUGGCGUGACGGUAACGAUUGUGAUAAAAAUCUUCGAUUUCUUCGGUUAUAUGGAUAGGUUCAUUCGUGAUCGCAACAGUGCUUGACUUCCAGUCGAAUUUUUUGUUUGCAGAUUACCUAUUUUACCAUAGAUUACUUACAGUAACCAUCACUUACUCGGCAUUCGCGAAAACGAAUUGUGUUUAGCUAAUGAUAUGAUAAUCUACGUUUGAAUUUACCCAUGAUGUCGUCUAAGUGGUGGAUUCAUCUGAGAUUUGAACACAUUCCAACGAUUGUUGGAACCCUAUUCGCGUGAUUGUUAUCAAAUUGCACGUUACAUCUUGAGCUAUUUUCAAUUUUUCAACAGCCAGCAAGUAUCGAUCGCUCGCAGGUUUAGUUCACCUAGAAAAAUGCUAAAUAGCAUACACCAUGUUUUGAAUCCAUUUUACGAAAGGUUGAUGUACUGUUGGCUUGCCAGUAUUCACCAUAAUAAUACGCGCAAUAAUAGGGUAGGCCAUCCAUGUCUUCCUACCGACUGCGUGUACUAUGAGCUAGACUCAGGUCAGCUAAGGUAGAUAUGGCACCUAGACUGCAGAAUGUACACUCGACGAUCACUUUAUUGAAAUCAGACAAAGUAAGUCACAGUGGCCACGGUGCA